AGAGUUUGAUCCUGGCUCAGAUUGAACGCUGGCGGCGUGCCUAACACAUGCAAGUCGUGCGAGAAAGUGGGCUUCGGCCCGCGAGUACAGCGGCGCACGGGUGAGUAACACGUGGGUGAUCUCCCUAACAGAUUGGGAUAACAGCGGGAAACUGCUGCUAAUACCGGAUACGAUCCAUUUAAUCGUGGAUGAAAGGCGGCCUCUGCUUGCAAGCUGCCACUGUUAGAUGAGCCCGCGUCCCAUUAGCUUGUUGGCGGGGUAACGGCCCACCAAGGCGACGAUGGGUAGCUGGUCUGAGAGGAUGACCAGCCACACUGGGACUGAAACACGGCCCAGACUCCUACGGGAGGCAGCAGUGGGGAAUAUUGCGCAAUGGGCGAAAGCCUGACGCAGCGACGCCGUGUGAGGGAAGAAGGCCUUCGGGUCGUAAACCUCUGUCAGAAGGGAAGAACCCCCAAGCUUCGAAUAGGGCUUUGGGCUGACGGUACCUCAGAGAG
RNAcentral lists this ribosomal RNA (497 nucleotides) under uncultured bacterium. Its description in RNAcentral is "bacterial SSU rRNA". It matches the Rfam family "Bacterial small subunit ribosomal RNA", at positions 8 to 487 of the family's 1533-position model. The record is from RNAcentral.